Molecule: non-coding RNA, 21 nt
Filed under: Caenorhabditis elegans
Lineage: Eukaryota; Metazoa; Nematoda; Chromadorea; Rhabditida; Rhabditidae
Source: RNAcentral
UUCCUUUGAUAUUUAUUCCGG